GUGGUAUGCUCAGAGUGGAGGACCUACAGAAAUAAUUAUUCUGUUUAUGACACACCAAACAGGAACCUGGGUUUACCAAUGAGGGUCACAAACCUUGUAAUUUUCUUAUGACCGCAUACCCUAUACAC
This is a small nucleolar RNA of Suncus etruscus (white-toothed pygmy shrew), 128 nucleotides long. RefSeq annotates it as small nucleolar RNA SNORA11. Lineage: Eukaryota; Metazoa; Chordata; Mammalia; Eulipotyphla; Soricidae. The transcript has a single exon. The record is from RefSeq and is a predicted model, not a curated record.